Non-coding RNA from Salmo salar (Atlantic salmon), 56 nucleotides. Lineage: Eukaryota; Metazoa; Chordata; Actinopteri; Salmoniformes; Salmonidae. The record is from Rfam.
GUUCAGUUGGUAGAGCAUGGUGUUUGCAACGCCAGGGUUGUGGGUUCGAUUCCCAC